RNAcentral lists this long non-coding RNA (202 nucleotides) under Elaeis guineensis (African oil palm). RNAcentral describes it as "long non-coding RNA (EGUI_LNC039287)". The record is from RNAcentral. Lineage: Eukaryota; Viridiplantae; Streptophyta; Magnoliopsida; Arecales; Arecaceae.
GCCAUGCGGCCAUGUAGGAUCUCCAAAAGAUUAGCCUUUUUGUAGUUGGUUGGCUAGAGCCAGAACCAGAGCUCACACCUUUUAUUAGAUCGAGUCUCAUUUGACCAAAUUGGAUCAUUCUGAGCCGGAACUUAUAUCUUUCAUUAGGUCGGUGUUCAGCCAACCAAGUCGAAUCAUUUGAGCUGGAGCUCAUAUGUAUCAU